RNAcentral lists this transfer RNA (76 nucleotides) under Sarcophilus harrisii (Tasmanian devil). It matches the Rfam family "tRNA". Rfam says of the family: Transfer RNA (tRNA) molecules are approximately 80 nucleotides in length. Their secondary structure includes four short double-helical elements and three loops (D, anti-codon, and T loops). The record is from Rfam by way of RNAcentral. Lineage: Eukaryota; Metazoa; Chordata; Mammalia; Dasyuromorphia; Dasyuridae.
UAAAUUGAAGCCAAAUGUUAAGGCACUUAGCUGUUAACUAAGAGUUAGAGGGAGAGAGAGAUACCCUCCAGUUUAG